CAUAAAGGAAAUUGAUUUUUAUUUUCAAAGUCAAUGGUGAGUAAAUGAACAAUGGUUGCCAGGCAACCUGUGAGCAGGGAUUGAGUAGAGACUAAAGCAAACAGCAGCCUCCACCCCCCAUCCCAGGAACCCAGAGCCUCUCAGGCCUUGUGCUUCCAGGUUACCCUGAUGGGCAGGACACACUCCCAUCACCUGGGACUCCUGGCACCCUGGGGGAGGGCUGUGCCUUCAGGACUCGCCUUAGACCGGGAGGAGCCAUGGAAGGAUUUUUCUGGAGAGGAGGAGUGGAGGUAAAUCUACAAUUCAGCACCUCUCCCUCCACACAGUGGACGGAUUGAGGGGUGAUUGAUUGGCAGGGGAGGUGCUCUAGUUUCCGUCAGGAAAGGAAACCCU
Molecule: long non-coding RNA, 393 nt
Filed under: Macaca mulatta (Rhesus monkey)
Lineage: Eukaryota; Metazoa; Chordata; Mammalia; Primates; Cercopithecidae
Description: lncRNA (ENSMMUG00000059579.1)
Source: RNAcentral